CCGGCGCACGGGUGCGUAACGCGUAUGCAACCUACCUUUAACAGGGGAGUAACACUGAGAAAUUGGUACUAAUACCCCAUAAUAUCAUAGAAGGCAUCUUUUAUGGUUGAAAAUUCCGAUGGUUAGAGAUGGGCAUGCGUUGUAUUAGCUAGUUGGUGGGGUAACGGCUCACCAAGGCGACGAUACAUAGGGGGACUGAGAGGGUGAUCGGCCACACUGGGACUGAGACACGGCCCAG
RNAcentral lists this ribosomal RNA (238 nucleotides) under uncultured bacterium. Its description in RNAcentral is "partial 16S ribosomal RNA". It matches the Rfam family "Bacterial small subunit ribosomal RNA", at positions 95 to 334 of the family's 1533-position model. The record is from RNAcentral.